UACGUAGGGGGCGAGCGUUGUCCGGAAUUACUGGGCGUAAAGGGUGCGUAGGCGGCGAUGCAAGUCCAUUGUGAAAAGCCCGGGCUUAACCUGGGAGGUGCAGUGGAAACUGCAUGGCUUGAGUGCAGGAGAGGAAAGUGGAAUUCCUAGUGUAGCGGUGAAAUGCGUAGAUAUUAGGAGGAACACCAGUGGCGAAGGCGGCUUUCUGGACUGUAACUGACGCUGAGGCACGAAAGCGUGGGGAGCAAACAGGAUUAGAUACCCUGGUA
This 269-nucleotide ribosomal RNA is filed under the name uncultured prokaryote. Its description in RNAcentral is "partial 16S ribosomal RNA". It matches the Rfam family "Bacterial small subunit ribosomal RNA", at positions 524 to 792 of the family's 1533-position model. The record is from RNAcentral.